This 228-nucleotide unclassified non-coding RNA is filed under the name Glomeraceae sp. RNAcentral describes it as "partial contains 5.8S ribosomal RNA and internal transcribed spacer 2". The stretch from base 1 to 71 matches the Rfam family "5.8S ribosomal RNA", at positions 84 to 154 of the family's 154-position model. The record is from RNAcentral. Lineage: Eukaryota; Fungi; Glomeromycota; Glomeromycetes; Glomerales; Glomeraceae.
GUGAAUCAUCAAAUUUUUGAACGCAAAUUGCGCUUCCUAGCAUCCCGGGAAGUAUGCCUGUUUGAGGGUCAGUAUUAACAAAAAAUUCGGUUGGUUUCAAAAUGUGACGUUUCCGGAGGUUGGGCUAUUCUAACCUUUUUGGUUUAAGGGCUUAAAAAUGACCUUUUUUGCGCAUUUUUAGACGGACCUAAAUUUUUUUUUUUUUUCUCUAUUUUUUAUGCCAAAAUC